Molecule: long non-coding RNA, 1230 nt
Organism: Mauremys mutica (yellowpond turtle)
Lineage: Eukaryota; Metazoa; Chordata; Testudines; Geoemydidae
Exons: 4
Source: RefSeq, a predicted model, not a curated record
UAUUGACAACACCUGAAGAGCAAGGAAAUUAACAGUGAACUGGGUGAGAGACCCUGGCUGAAAGGAUUCUAGCCAGUAAGACUGCUGAAGCAUGUGGAUAAAAUCCCUUGAUAAGCUUUUAUCAGCAGAAGUGUCAGUUGAAAGUCUGGUCCAAUAUACUGCAGACUGUGACAGAUGACGUCAUGAAGUGUGGCACAGCCUCUAACGCGGCACAUGCAUGCACAAACCUUACCAUGAGUGUCAGAGCAGAAAUGGAGUAAGUGGGAAACCAAAGAAACCUGGACAACCUUGGAACAACUGAAGAUCUGCGAUAUGCUAAACAGACUGCUCUAUUUGAAUGAAUUAAUAUCAGCUUAUGUCUUUAGGUAGUGCACCAUGUAUAUGAUGUAACUCCCAUUGACUUUCGUUGAGAAUUAUGGUGACAUAUAGGGAGGAAAGAUGAUUUCCUGUGGUGUGUAAAUACUGCAAGUGUUCUGUGGUCCCUAGAGGGAAAAUCACUGAGGGAUAAGGUCAAAUGUAGAGUGUAAUUCACUAAAACGAUCAUAUUGAAAGCUAUGUUUAUAUCAAGUUAGAAAUCCCUUCUGGAAUAACAGACUGCCAAGGUAAAAUCUGAGUUUGUCUAAUGAAGAAUCGGAGCAGAGACCUGAAGCUUAACCUCCUACAUUGGAGGCAAGUGCUCUAACUGCUGAGUCAAUGUCAUUGUGGGGUCUGGUGUUUACAAUCUCUCUGGAGUUGUUCCAUUUUGUAUAGCUACAAUGGCAUGGUAAUAAUAGGUAGGAUGGAUUCUGAAAAUGAAACUAAAUCAAUUGGAAGAGAGAUUAAGUCACAUAUAAAAUUACUUUGUUUUGGAUGUCAUCAGAGUAAGAUUCCAGGACGUUUAUAACGAGUUCAAUAAGGAUUCAUUCAGCAAUUUCUGUUCUGUACCAUGACCUUCCAAAGUUCUACUCACCCUAUCAUCCAAGUGAAAGAAUUUAUUUUGGCAGCUGCAAUUUUUUCAAGCCUGCCUUCUCCGUCCCGAAGGCUAUCUCAGAUAAGGCAGUGAAAAAAACGCACAUGAGAUUAAAUGUUCUCUGAAAUCAUGCAGUCGACCCGCAGUGAAACAGCUCAUUUGAAUGAGUGAAAGGACACAGUAUCACAGUACAGGAAAGCGGCCAAUGAACGUGAGGACAGGAGGGAUGAACAUGAGGACAGGAGGGACGCUCGAGAUGAGAGGUGGCAGCAGGAAGAUCA